UUGACAAGCUUUGUGUCAUCUCAAUUUGCCUUCGACUGCUAAGGUCUUUUCGUCUACUUCCAAUCAAUUGUAGUCAAGAGUACUUCUAAUCCGGUCAUCGCUUUUAAGAUUAUCAUUAUUCACACAAGGGUGCAUCGAGGCCCUUCAGCAGAUGCUCGUGUGUAACCUUUACAUGACCAAUCCUCAGCCUGUGUGUUUUGACCAUAUCUGCUCUGGACAUAUGUUUAAUGUAAAACAUUCCCCUUACUUGCCGUUUUACUGUGGUAUGUAAAUGCGUCCGUUUUUUCCAUCACGUCAACGUCUACUUGUGGAUGUUCAGAAGCUUCUCGUGCUGUUCGAACGUAAAGAAAUCCCACUUGAUACAUUUCAACAGAAAUUUACAAAUAUAUGUAGUGAGUAUGGAGAAUACGACAUCAUAUUUACCGAUGCGUCUAAAUCUGGAAAUGGAGUAGGAUGUGCGAUCGCCUCGCAGAUAACAAAUAAAUGGACUUUAAACCCCCAGUCGACUAUAGGAUUUGCAGAAAGAUAUGCCAUCUGGAAAGCUCUUCAGCACUGUUCCUCGUUGUCUGAAACUCAAAGAUUUAUUAUUGCAAGCGAUAACAUAAAUGCAUUAACAGACUUAACACAAAUUUAUUCCAAUAAUGCUUUAACUAAACUGGCCCAAUCAGAACUAUUACACCUAAACAACAAAAAUGUAUCCAUCAUAUCUAUUUGGGUGCCAGGACACGCAGGUAUACCAGGCAACGAGCUUGCAGACAGAACGGAGAAAAUUGUUAUCGGGUCUGAAACAGUCCCGAUAAAGUUGAAAAACCGAAUUAAAAUCAUGGAUAUUUUGGUAGUCCCUAGCAUGAAUCACAAUAUAAUUUUAGGCGCCGAUUUUUUUAGGCUCAUGGAGAUAGUGCCCACUUUGAGCGUGUGGAAAUUUGCUGUCGACGGAGUGAACAUUUCAAAAUCCAAUUUACUAC
Molecule: long non-coding RNA, 965 nt
Organism: Photinus pyralis (common eastern firefly)
Lineage: Eukaryota; Metazoa; Arthropoda; Insecta; Coleoptera; Lampyridae
Exons: 4
Source: RefSeq, a predicted model, not a curated record